RNAcentral lists this ribosomal RNA (460 nucleotides) under uncultured bacterium. RNAcentral describes it as "partial 16S ribosomal RNA". It matches the Rfam family "Bacterial small subunit ribosomal RNA", at positions 338 to 795 of the family's 1533-position model. The record is from RNAcentral.
CCUACGGGGGGCAGCAGUGAGGAAUAUUGGUCAAUGGGCGCGAGCCUGAACCAGCCACGUAGCGUGAAGGAUGAAUGCCCUCCGGGUUGUAAACUUCUUUUAUAAAGGAAUAAAGUGAGUCUAGUGUUCCUUUUUGUAUGUACUUUAUGAAUAAGGAUCGGCUAACUCCGUUCCAGCAGCCGCGGUAAUACGGAGGAUCCGAGCUUUAUCCGGAUUUAUUUGGUUUAAAGGGAGCGUAGAUGGGUUGUUAAGUCAGUUGUGAAAGUUUGCGGCUCAACGGUAAAAUUGCAAUUGAUACUGGCAGUCUUGAGUACAGUUGAGGUAGGUGGAAUUCGUGGUGUAGCGGUGAAAUGCUUAGAUAUCACGAAGAACUCCGAUUGCGAAGGCAGCUUACUAAACUGCCACUGACAUUGAGGCUCGAAAGUGUGGGUAGCAAACAGGAUUAGAUACCCGAGUAGUC